Long non-coding RNA from Amblyraja radiata (thorny skate), 189 nucleotides. RefSeq lists it as uncharacterized. The transcript is spliced from 3 exons. NCBI's taxonomy places the organism in Eukaryota, Metazoa, Chordata, Chondrichthyes, Rajiformes, Rajidae. The record is from RefSeq and is a predicted model, not a curated record.
AGAAUUGGGUGGGAGAUGGUGUCAAAGGCUGCUGUGAGGUCGAGGAGGAUCAGAAUGGAUAAGUGUCAGCUGCGAGAAGGAGAUCAUUUGUAAUUUUUACCAAGGCUGUUUCAGUGCUGUGAUUGUGGCAAAAACCAGACUGAAAUGGUUCAUAGAGGUUAUUGUUUUGAAGUUUAGAAACAGACAAUU